This 302-nucleotide long non-coding RNA is filed under the name Bos indicus x Bos taurus (hybrid cattle). RNAcentral describes it as "lncRNA (ENSBIXG00005006210.1)". Lineage: Eukaryota; Metazoa; Chordata; Mammalia; Artiodactyla; Bovidae. The record is from RNAcentral.
GGGGUACUCUGAGCAGCUCCCUGAGUGACUGCCCGGCGGAGAGUCCUUGUGGACCCUGGGGUCGAAGGCCCAGCCUGCGUCUGAUUCAUGGUCUCUCUGUGGUAGCUGCCUCCCCCUCCCCACCGGGACACCGAGUUGACCCCUGCCUGGCAGGGUCUGGUGGACGAGCCAAGUGUCGUGCUGGAAGCAACAGGGCCCUGUGUCACGACACUAGGGUGAGCCAGCAGACGCGGGUCAGAGCGGCACACACACUAGCCCGGGACCUGGGGCGAUUCUGCCUGCAAACACGGCUGAUUUCCCAG